CCAAAUUUUAGAGGCAAAGUGUUAGUAUUCAGAUUUACUACAUCCUUCUGGCACAAAACCUUGGUAAGACGAUAUUCUACAAAGCAAUAACUAUCCUGAACUGAAAGACUUAAUUACAAUAAUUAAGUUUAGGAAUGAACAAUCAAGUUACAUAUAAUCUUAAACAAAUAUUUCAAUCACUACUAUAAUGAGACAAGGUGGGAGACAGGAGACUGGCCUGAAAAUUACCUUUCAACAUAACAUUACCCAUAUUACUGUUUUUCUUCUUCUUGCUCUAAAUGAAAUGCAUAAUAAUCACUCAGU
This 303-nucleotide long non-coding RNA is filed under the name Bos taurus (domestic cattle). Its description in RNAcentral is "long non-coding RNA NONBTAT018097". The record is from RNAcentral. Lineage: Eukaryota; Metazoa; Chordata; Mammalia; Artiodactyla; Bovidae.